GACGAACGCUGGCGGCGUGCUUAACACAUGCAAGUCGAACGGUGAAGCGCCUUCCUUUUUGGUGGGUGUGUAUGAGUGGCGAACUGGUGAUUAACACGUGAGUAACCUGCCCCCUUCUUCUGGAUAACCGCAUGAAAGUGUUGCUAAUACGGGAUAUUCUGGGUCUGUCGCAUGAUGGGUCUGGGAAAGAUAUUGUUUCGGUGGGGGAUGUGCUCGCGGCCUAUCAGCUUGUUGGUGGUGUGAUGGCCUACCAAGGCGGUGUCGGGUAGCCGGCCUGGGAGGGUGGAAGGUAAGACAGGGAAAGAGACACGGACAAGAAUACGACGGGAGGCAGCAGGGAGGAAGAGAGGACAAGGGGAGAAAGCAUGAUGCAGCGACGCGGCGUGAGGGAUGGAGGCCUUCGGGUUGUGAACCUCUUUCGCCAGUGAAGCAGGACUGCCUCGUUUGUGGGUGGGUUGACGGUAGCUGGAUAAGAAGCGCCGGCUAACUACGUG
Molecule: ribosomal RNA, 494 nt
Filed under: uncultured bacterium
Lineage: Bacteria
Description: partial 16S ribosomal RNA
Rfam family: Bacterial small subunit ribosomal RNA
Source: RNAcentral